This 326-nucleotide long non-coding RNA is filed under the name Gallus gallus (chicken). Lineage: Eukaryota; Metazoa; Chordata; Aves; Galliformes; Phasianidae. The record is from RNAcentral.
UCAAGGCACUUUAUGAGAAAAAGGCAUUUCUUUCCAUCUUUGUCAGGCAAGGGCUCUACACAACAGUUGCCGUCCAGUAUGAUGUCUCCCUUCUUGUCCUUUAGGUCUUCACUUACAUAGUAGGAAAUAAUAUUGGGUUUUAGUACAAACCAUCGUUCCGUCCAGUUUUUCCUUUUGUGACCUUUCUUCAGCAUAUAACCCUGUUUGAGUACAUCCAAUAUGAGCUCGUUAAAGACUUCAUUAAUGGCCAUGGACACGGUCUGGCGGUCCAUGCCCUUACUGAACUGCCCGCUCCCAAUGAGAUCGAUCAGCUCCCACGCAGAGAG